This 1305-nucleotide ribosomal RNA is filed under the name Atteva charopis. RNAcentral describes it as "16S ribosomal RNA". The record is from RNAcentral. Lineage: Eukaryota; Metazoa; Arthropoda; Insecta; Lepidoptera; Attevidae.
ACUAAAUAAAAAAAAAAUUUUUAAUUUAAAAAAUAUGAUAGGGGGUUUAAGUAUUAUUUAAAGAAAAAAUUAAAAUAUUUAUAGUUUAAUAGUAUAGUAAUAGAAAUUUGAAAUAAUUAAAAAUUAAUUAUAAUAAAAGUAGAUUUAAUUUAUUAUAUCUUGUGUAUCAGAGUUUAUUAAAAAUUUAAUAAAGAUUAUUAUUAUUCUCGAAUUUAAAAGAGUUAAUUAAUUAAUUAAUUUAUUGUUGAAUAAAUAUUUAUAAUAAUUAAUUUGAAAUGAAAUGUUAAUCGUUUUUAAAUAUAUCUAGUUUUUUUUGAAAUAAAUUUAAUUUAUAAUUUAAUUUAUAAUAUUUUAAAUAAAAAAAAUAUUUUAAAUUAAAUUUAAAUAUUAUAAGGGAUAAGCUUUAUAAUAAAUUUUUAUAAUAAAAUAAGAUUAAUUAAAAAUUUUAUAAAUUAAAUUUUUAAUAAAUUUUAAUUUUUUAUAAAUAAUUUUAAUUAAAAAAAAAUUUUAGAAUAAUUUAAUUUUUUAAAAAAAUAUUAAUUAUAAUAAAUAAAAUUAAGAAAUAAUGAUAAAAUUAGUAUAUUUUUAAUAUUUAUUUAAUUAUAAUUAAAUAAAAAAUUUUUUAAAGGAAUUCGGCAAAAAUUUAUAUUUACCUGUUUAUCAAAAACAUGUCUUUUUGAAAAUAAUUUAAAGUCUAAUCUGCCCACUGAAAUUAUUUAAAGGGCUGCAGUAAUUUGACUGUACAAAGGUAGCAUAAUCAUUAGUCUCUUAAUUGGUGACUGGAAUGAAUGAUUGGAUAAGAUAUAAUCUGUCUCUAAGAAAGAUAUAAAAUUUAAUUUUUUAUUUAAAAAGAUAAAAUAAUUUUAAAAGACGAGAAGACCCUAUAGAGUUUAAUAAUAUUUUAAUUUAAAAUUAUUUAUAUAAAAAUUGAUAAAAAGUUAAAAUAUUAUUUUAUUGGGGUGAUAAAAAAAUUUAAUUAACUUUUUUUUAUAAUUAAUAUAAAUAAGUAUAAUUUUUGAUCCAUUAAUAAUGAUUAUAAGAUUAAAUUACCUUAGGGAUAACAGCGUAAUUUUUUUUUUUAGUUCUUAUAAGAAGAAAAGUUUGCGACCUCGAUGUUGGAUUAAGAUAAAAUUUAAAUGUAGAAGUUUAAAAUUUUGAUCUGUUCGAUCAUUAAAAUCUUACAUGAUCUGAGUUCAAACCGGUGUGAGCCAGGUUGGUUUCUAUCUUUAAAUAAAAUUAAUAUUUUAGUACGAAAGGAAUAAAUAUUAAAAAUAAUUUUGUUAAAAUGAAUAUUAAUAAAUGAAA